RNAcentral lists this ribosomal RNA (503 nucleotides) under uncultured bacterium. RNAcentral describes it as "partial 16S ribosomal RNA". It matches the Rfam family "Bacterial small subunit ribosomal RNA", at positions 28 to 523 of the family's 1533-position model. The record is from RNAcentral.
GAUGAACGCUAGCGACAGGCCUAACACAUGCAAGUCGAGGGGCAGCACAUGCGUAGCAAUACAAUGGUGGCGACCGGCGCACGGGUGAGUAACACGUAUGCAACCUACCUGUAAGAGGGGAAUAACCCGGAGAAAUUCGGACUAACACCGCAUAAUACCUCGAAGCUGCAUGGCUUUGAGGUUAAAUAUUUAUAGCUUACAGAUGGGCAUGCGUAACAUUAGAUAGUUGGUGAGGUAACGGCUCACCAAGUCAACGAUGUUUAGGGGUUCUGAGAGGAAGGUCCCCCACACUGGUACUGAGACGCGGACCAGACUCCUACGGGAGGCAGCAGUGAGGAAUAUUGGUCAAUGGGCGAGAGCCUGAACCAGCCAAGUCGCGUGAAGGAAGAAGGUUCUAUGGAUUGUAAACUUCUUUUGUAAGGGAAUAAAAAAGCUUACGUGUGGGCUAUUGUAUGUACUUUACGAAUAAGGAUCGGCUAACUCCGUGCCAGCAGCCGCAGUAA